This 400-nucleotide unclassified non-coding RNA is filed under the name soil metagenome. RNAcentral's name for it is "partial contains 5.8S ribosomal RNA, internal transcribed spacer 2, and large subunit ribosomal RNA". The stretch from base 1 to 122 matches the Rfam family "5.8S ribosomal RNA", at positions 35 to 154 of the family's 154-position model. The record is from RNAcentral.
GAUGAAGAACGUAGCGAAAUGCGAUACUUGGUGUGAAUUGCAGAAUCCCGUGAACCAUCGAGUCUUUGAACGCAAGUUGCGCCUCAAGCCAUUAGGUUGAGGGCACGUCUGCCUGGGCGUCACAUAUCGUUGCCUGAUGCCAGUUUCCUCGUGAUGGGUGACUGUGCUGGGCGAAUGAUGGCUUCCCGUGAGCAUUGUUGCCUCAUGGUUGGUUGAAAAUUGAGUCCUUGGUAGGGAGCGCCGUGAUAGAUGGUGGUUGAGUGACGAACGAGACCCAAUCAUGUGAGACCCCUACCGAAUUUGGCCUUCAUGACCCACAUGCGUCUUUGGAACGCUCAUGACGAGACCUCAGGUCAGGCGGGGCUACCCGCUGAGUUUAAGCAUAUCAAUAAGCGGAGGA